Non-coding RNA from Musca domestica (house fly), 81 nucleotides. The record is from Rfam. NCBI's taxonomy places the organism in Eukaryota, Metazoa, Arthropoda, Insecta, Diptera, Muscidae.
UGCAUGUGAUGAUAACCUUAAUCUGAACAAAAUCUAUGCUGAUUACACAUUCAAAUUAAACCAAAAGGAUUCUGACAUGCA